UACGUAGGGUGCGAGCGUUGUCCGGAAUUAUUGGGCGUAAAGAGCUUGUAGGCGGUUUGUCGCGUCUGCUGUGAAAAUCCGGGGCUCAACCCCGGACUUGCAGUGGGUACGGGCAGACUAGAGUGUGGUAGGGGAGACUGGAAUUCCUGGUGUAGCGGUGAAAUGCGCAGAUAUCAGGAGGAACAACGAUGGCGAAGGCAGGUCUCUGGGCCACUACUGACGCUGAGAAGCGAAAGCAUGGGGAGCGAACAGG
RNAcentral lists this ribosomal RNA (253 nucleotides) under uncultured bacterium. RNAcentral describes it as "partial 16S ribosomal RNA". It matches the Rfam family "Bacterial small subunit ribosomal RNA", at positions 524 to 776 of the family's 1533-position model. The record is from RNAcentral.